Molecule: ribosomal RNA, 434 nt
Filed under: uncultured Lachnospiraceae bacterium
Lineage: Bacteria; Bacillati; Bacillota; Clostridia; Lachnospirales; Lachnospiraceae
Description: partial 16S ribosomal RNA
Rfam family: Bacterial small subunit ribosomal RNA
Source: RNAcentral
ACGGGAGGCAGCAGUGGGGAAUAUUGCACAAUGGGCGAAAGCCUGAUGCAGCGACGCCGCGUGAGUGAUGAAGUAUUUCGGUAUGUAAAGCUCUAUCAGCAGGGAAGAUAAUGACGGUACCUGACUAAGAAGCACCGGCUAAAUACGUGCCAGCAGCCGCGGUAAUACGUAUGGUGCAAGCGUUAUCCGGAUUUACUGGGUGUAAAGGGAGCGCAGGCGGUACGGCAAGUCUGAUGUGAAAGCCCGGGGCUCAACCCCGGUACUGCAUUGGAAACUGUCGAACUAGAGUGUCGGAGGGGUAAGUGGAAUUCCUAGUGUAGCGGUGAAAUGCGUAGAUAUUAGGAGGAACACCAGUGGCGAAGGCGACUUACUGGACCGUAACUGACGUUGAGGCUCGAAAGCGUGGGGAGCAAACAGGAUUAGAUACCCUGGUA